This is a non-coding RNA of Manis javanica (Malayan pangolin), 4013 nucleotides long. The record is from RefSeq and is a predicted model, not a curated record. Lineage: Eukaryota; Metazoa; Chordata; Mammalia; Pholidota; Manidae.
CUAUAGGGUUUAUUUACUGAGGUCCCCAAAGGCCUUGAUUAAGUAGUUACCAUACUUGGAAGUUAGUCCUAUACGUUAGUUUCGAUGUCCUGUAAUCUCAGAGUAUUUAAGUAGAAGCUAUCUUACUUAGGAGGAAAAAAAAAUGAGGUUUUGUCAUUUGCAAGCUAAUUUAAUGUUUGAGUCCAACCAGCAAACUCACUUUGCUUUCUACCAAAUAGUUAGUUUUCAGUAGCAAGAUUCAGCGUGCUUGACUCCAAAGCUGCUGGCAGUCUAAGUGUUAUCUAUCCAAAUUCUUGUAUUUCAGAGAACAAAAAACCCAAUUUCUCCUUUUAUAAAUUUAAUCCAAUGUAAACACCAACUUUCAAGGUUUGUCCGGGGAUGAUAGUUACUUCUUUUUCACUUUUUCCAUGUUGAAGCUAUUCUUGGAUGUCAGCAAGCAGGAUUGAACCUCAGGAGCAUAUGAGGCCACUGGAAAAUACUUCACAAUCUUUGAGUCUUUCUGGGUCACUCAGUAUUUGAUUAUCCAAACUAAUUCUGGGCAGGGAAAGCAUGAAUAAUUAAAUUGUACAAACUCUCGUCCCUUAUAUUGGCUGAAGACUUCAGCCUUCUCAAACUAUUUUUCCAGGAGAACUAGAAAGUAGAAUGUUGUGUCUCCUGGCUUUACUCUUUUUCCUCUGUUUUUCCAAAGAGGUAUGGACAAAUGGCAAAACGUGUCCCUCCCAAGUACCCUGUCCUGUCUGCCAUGGAGUGGUAUCUAUAAUGAGAAAAAAACCCCCCACAGAUCUAGGAAAUAAUUUCCUGAAAAAGUAGACUAAUCUGUUCUAGAACUUCCUGGGUAUAAGAAGGAAGACAGAACUUCAGCCAGAAUUUGGCUUCUGGCUUUUCCUUUUCUUGAUCAUUUACCAAUAAUCUUAAAGGCUAUUUUCCUUAAAGGCUUUCUUCCCAUUACAGGCUUUUUUGGCACUCAGAAGUAACAAUGAAAAUAAACAUUUAACAGAUGGUCCCAGCAGUUUCCCUGAUGGACACACAGUACAAAAGGAAAGCACAUAUAAUUGAGUUAGAUUGUCUCUUUAUUUUAUUUCCCACCAAAUAUUCUCCUGGUCACAGUUUUGUUGACGUUGUUGUCUCUGCCUUUUUUCUCUGUGGUCCCUCACAUUCAAUGUCUGAAGCAUUCUCCAAGGUCAUUGGGUGCCUCCCUUAGUCCCACCUCUACACCCCAGAGGACAGUGCCUCGGAUGGGCAGAACAAAUGGCUUCACCCCAGCUCUCUGCAGAGGUUUGCAGGAAAAAUUAGGGAGGUUUCCCACAUCUGCAUCUGGUUCUUCCAUGACACCAGAGGUCAUAGGGUAGAAGUAAGUCAAGGAAUAUUAGCAAGAAGAGGAAGAAAGACAAUCGGAAUAUCCUACAUGCUCUUUAUUGAUUAGGAAAAUGAGAAACACCUAGGGUAGAAAGGUCAGCCUGAGGUUAUAGGGACAGCCCAAGACAUAUUAAAUGACCGCAACUGGGAGUCUAGCUUCUUUCUCCACAUGCCCUGCAGAUGAUAUAUGAGUUCAAGACCAGGAUGUUCACAGACAUGAAAAGGGCACAUUAUCUAAAUAGUUACAGAAAGCCAAGCCAAAUUCUGAAUCUGAGCAUUCCAAGACAUGAAGGAACAAGCAGUGAGUCACCAAUCCUAGGACUACAUGAGGAAGAACACUCAAGCCAAAUGAAGCCCAGGCCCAGGCCCCAGUGAGAAAGAUUCACAGCAAGCAGGAGAUGCUGGUGAGCAGCAGAGUCCUGCACAGGCCGUGGCCCAAACCAACAGCAAAACCAAAUAAGACUCGUGAACUAAGGUUUGAGACAGCUGAUGACAGCCCUGCUUUUACAACUCUUCAAGGGGUGUGAGCAGGCCAAGGCUGAAUGACAUGCUGGAAACCCAGGAGAAGCAAGGGUUUCUUGCAAAUUUUUCCAAGUGUUAGACUUCCUGUGGUCCUGUGGGCACCUGUGAUUUGGGGAAGGGUAACACUUCAAGUUUUUAUCUUAAAGGCAAAUACAUACUGACUUGGAAAUGUCCAGUGUUACAGCAAAAAGGGAUGAAAUGGAAAUAGGAAGGGAGGAGGAAGGAGAAAGCAUUCAGUACUUUCUAAGAGGUCAUAUAUACAGCCUGGUUUCCUGAGUUGAUGGAUGUAUUAACUCAACUUACUGUGGUAAUCAUAACACUACAAUAUUAUACGAAGUUUAUAUAAACAAAACUAUAAAACAACAUAGUGGCAAGUCUUGCUGGAAGGAUGAAUGGUUUAAAGGUUUAAUAGUUCUUCCCACCCCUGAAAUAUACCUCCUCCUCUUGCUUCUGGUUUAUUAAUGGAGAAUAAACAUUUUGACAAUUUGAGAGAAAAUUAGAAAUGCAAAUACUGGAUGAAACAGUAUAUAUGUUCACAUUCCCACAAAGCUCUGUUGGGUCUUUCCCUGAAAGUUCUGGACAGAUCACCAGUUGUUGAAGCAAACAGGGCAGAAGGAGGGGUCUCAAUAGACUGAUGGCAGAUCCAAAAUACAGGUUCUGCUAUCCUGGUGAUCCUCUAAAAUGAAUCUGUAAUUCCGUUAUGACACUGAGAGCCUGGUAGCCAUAUUUGCAUCAGCAACAUGUGCAUUUAUAAAAACCUGUUUUAUUUUUAAAAAUGGGAAGAAUUUAUAUUGAGCUACAAAAUCAGAGCUUACUCACCUGAGAAUGGAGCAGAAAGCCUGUUGUCUUUUAUCAUUGACUUGAGAGCUACAUUCCUUUGAAUUCUUGGAUACAAUAUGCAAAAGGCAGUGGACAGAAAUAUCAAAUCCUUGGCAAGAUCCAUUACUAUAUAAUCUCCAUCAUGGAACCUACUGAAACAAGUGAGAAACUGUUCCCUUCAUGUAACAAUUUGGUAGAAGAAAGGAAACAGUCAAGCCUCUUCUGGAAGGUAAGAGGCUGCUCUGCUUCCUGAAGAUAGGGUGGCUGAGAAACCAACCUGUCUGUACAAGGAGAAGCCAACAUACUAGAAUGCUGUUGUGUUUAAUCCAAAGUGAUACCAAGACAAGAACCUAAGGUGAUUCAGAAUCUAAAAAUGUAUUCUGCCAACAGACUGGGUGGCAGGCUCCCCGGAAAUCUGGCUAUGCUUGAAAAGAAUCUGCUGAGGAACACUGGGCUCUACCCUCAACACACACUCUGACAAGCUUCCCUCUCCAGACAUGCGGUGCCAGUGACUUCUGACUGCCAAGACAUCAGCCUGCACACUCUUCUCUGCCUCCUUCCCCAUCUCCACAGGAUGAGAAAAUGGAGGUGUUGAUUCGCCAGGCAACAUGGAAUCACAUGACAGAAACUCUGGUUUUGGCAGUGUGGGAAGGAGGGAAUGGAGGCAGGGAAUGGAGAAUAGAUUCUUGGAAUAGUUCAGGCAGGGAGUCAGAGAAUCUAGACUAGGCUGCUGCAGCAAGAAUAAAGUAGAAUGACUGUUCCCAACAUCUCCUAAGGUUACACAUAGCUGUUGCAGGAAAACAGAAGGCUAGAACUGCCUGAAGAGAGAAGGAUCCAAGAAGAAAUGGAGCCCCAAGCAAAGAAGGGAUUUUCUAUCACUGAAGACUCCAUUAUACUUGGAGCUAAUAUGCCCUCGAGUGUGUUUAGGCUCUCUUCAGCAAUGUAGUGUAUUGAGUGCUAAAUUGCAUCAUUGUAUUGCUUCUGCCUUAUGGCACUGGUGAAGAAACCAGAACCCUAUUUCCCAGAAUUAUUUAAUCUGGUCUUGAGUUACCAUACCAGGCCUGCAUCUAAAUAAGAUCUAAAUAAGAAUUUGUAUCUACAAAUGUUGUUGCUUUUUAAAUAAUAGUCACAAUGUUCAUUGAAGGAAACAUAGGCAAUCCAUACAAAGAUCCAUAUACCAAAAUUACCUAUAAACUCACAAACAAAAAGUCACUUUUAACACUUUAUUGUCCCCUUUCAGUGUUGUCUUAAUGUGCACGUGUGUGUUUUAUUUUUUUGUAUGUGCAUUCUUUUUUCUUCAAAUAAGAAUCUUUUAA